This 85-nucleotide transfer RNA is filed under the name Thalassospira xiamenensis. RNAcentral describes it as "tRNA_Ser_TGA". It matches the Rfam family "tRNA". Rfam says of the family: Transfer RNA (tRNA) molecules are approximately 80 nucleotides in length. Their secondary structure includes four short double-helical elements and three loops (D, anti-codon, and T loops). Further hydrogen bonds mediate the characteristic L-shaped molecular structure. tRNAs have two regions of fundamental functional importance: the anti-codon, which is responsible for specific mRNA codon recognition, and the 3' end, to which the tRNAs corresponding amino acid is attached (by aminoacyl-tRNA synthetases). tRNAs cope with the degeneracy of the genetic code in two manners: having more than one tRNA (with a specific anti-codon) for a particular amino acid; and 'wobble' base-pairing, i.e. permitting non-standard base-pairing at the 3rd anti-codon position. Lineage: Bacteria; Pseudomonadati; Pseudomonadota; Alphaproteobacteria; Rhodospirillales; Thalassospiraceae. The record is from RNAcentral.
GGAGGGAUGGCAGAGAGGCUUAUCGCGCCCGGUUUGAAACCGGGAGUUCCGAAAGGAACCGGGGGUUCAAAUCCCUCUCCCUCCG